This 338-nucleotide unclassified non-coding RNA is filed under the name soil metagenome. RNAcentral describes it as "partial contains 5.8S ribosomal RNA, internal transcribed spacer 2, and large subunit ribosomal RNA". The stretch from base 1 to 120 matches the Rfam family "5.8S ribosomal RNA", at positions 35 to 154 of the family's 154-position model. The record is from RNAcentral.
GAUGAAGAACGUAGCGAAAUGCGAUAGGUAAUGUGAAUUGCAGAAUUCAGUGAAUCAUCGAAUCUUUGAACGCACAUUGCGCCCGGUAGUAUUCUGCCGGGCAUGCCUGUUCGAGCGUCAUUUCAACCAUCAAGCCCCAGCGCUUGUGUUGGGGGCCUGCGGCUGCCGCAGCCCCCCAAAAGCAGUGGCGGGCUCGCUAUCACACCGAGUGCAGUAGUUCAUCUUCUCUCCGGUCUUGUGAGGCGGGUUCCGGCCGUGAAACACCCCACUACAUUCAAGGUUGACCUCGGAUCAGGUAGGAAUACCCGCUGAACUUAAGCAUAUCAAUAAGCGGAGGA